Caerostris darwini is the source of this 112-nucleotide non-coding RNA. The record is from the annotation of a GenBank genome assembly. Lineage: Eukaryota; Metazoa; Arthropoda; Arachnida; Araneae; Araneidae.
AACGGCCGUACCGUGCUGAAUAUACCGGUUCUCGUUAGAUCACCGAAGUCAAGCAUCAUUGGGCGCGGUCAGUACUUGGGUGGGUGACCACCUGGGAACACCGCGUGCCGUU